CUGUGAUUCUCGAGUGAAGAGUUUGAUUUUGAUGAUGAAACCCUCUCUGAAAAUGAGGGUAUAGUGUUAACCAUUGUGUAUCUACCGUUGGAAAAUCAUAGAAACGACAAAGUUUACUUUUUUUCGAAUUACGAAAGUGUGUGUAUCCGCUCGUUUUCUUUACUUUCGCGGAAAGAGAUGGGAGACUUCGGUGUUGUGGCGACGAUCGACAUUUCGAAAUGAAAAACAAAAACAAAGCCUUGGUGAAACUAUUCAUUGUGUGAUUAUUUACUAUCCUGUUGAAGUGAUUAAAUGAUUAUUCAAAAGAAAUUGAUAUCGAGUAUGUGGUGAAAAGCUUAUCUCCUUUGAAAACGCUUUGUGUUUUGAUUGACAUUACGUUGUGCAUCACCAUCUGUGGAAGCUUUCAUUCUCUUUCUCGUGAUCAUCUGAACAUGGAAGGUGUCUUUUGGCCUUCUUCCCUUUGAUGAUGACGCGUCAAUCUCAUCAAGUGAUCAUCCUCGCGUCUUUGCUAAUGGGCAUGACGCUUGCAAGGGAUGGCAACUUAAUAAGUGUUACCAGACCGGCGAGGCUCCCUGGCGACAGCACAGUGUUGCCAGACAAAGGCAGACGCGAGGUCACCCCUACGCUGAUCCUUGGGAGAACAGGUGUACCAGUCCAG
Molecule: long non-coding RNA, 658 nt
Filed under: Penaeus japonicus
Lineage: Eukaryota; Metazoa; Arthropoda; Malacostraca; Decapoda; Penaeidae
Description: uncharacterized LOC122263306
Source: RNAcentral